Molecule: ribosomal RNA, 539 nt
Filed under: uncultured Acidobacteriota bacterium
Lineage: Bacteria; Pseudomonadati; Acidobacteriota
Description: bacterial SSU rRNA
Rfam family: Bacterial small subunit ribosomal RNA
Source: RNAcentral
UUGAUCCUGGCUCAGAAUCAACGCUGGCGGCGUGCCUAACACAUGCAAGUCGAACGCGAAAGUGGAGCAAUCCAUGAGUAGAGUGGCAAACGGGUGAGUUACACGUAGGUGACCUGCCUUCGAGCGGGGGAUAACGUCCCGAAAGGGACUCUAAUACCGCAUAACAUCCUGCCUUUUAAGAGGUGGAGAUCAAAGCCGGUGAUUCGCAAGAACCUGGCACUUGAAGAGGGGCCCGCGCCUGAUUAGCUAUUUGGUGGGGUAAUGGCCUACCAAGGCAACGAUCAGUAUCCGGCCUGAGAUGGCGGACGGACACACUGGGACUGAGACACGGCCCAGACUCCUACGGGAGUCAGCAGUAGGGAAUUGUUCGCAAUGGGCGCAAGCCUGACGACGCAACGCUGCGUGGAGGAUGAAGACCUUCGGGUCGUAAACUCCUUUCGAUCGAGACGUAUGUUUUUCGGGUGAAUACUCCGGAAAGGUGACGGUACCGAGAGAAGAAUCCCCGGCUAACUCUGUGCCAGCAGCCGCGGUAAUAAGGU